UGACAUAUACAGAAGAUUGGAACCACACCUUCCCAUUCCGAACAGGUUGAGUGAAACGGGCUUACGCUGAGAAUAGUGUGGUCAUGUUCCACGCAAAGGUAAGUAAUGUCAGGCU
Molecule: ribosomal RNA, 115 nt
Filed under: Candidatus Tremblayella phenacoccinincola
Lineage: Bacteria; Pseudomonadati; Pseudomonadota; Betaproteobacteria
Source: RNAcentral